This 301-nucleotide ribosomal RNA is filed under the name uncultured bacterium. RNAcentral describes it as "partial 16S ribosomal RNA". It matches the Rfam family "Bacterial small subunit ribosomal RNA", at positions 509 to 807 of the family's 1533-position model. The record is from RNAcentral.
CAGUCGCCACGGUAAUACGUAGGGUGCAAGCGUUAAUCGGAAUUACUGGGCGUAAAGCGUGCGCAGGCGGUUAUAUAAGACAGAUGUGAAAUCCCCGGGCUCAACCUGGGAACUGCAUUUGUGACUGUAUAGCUAGAGUACAGCAGAGGGGGAUGGAAUUCCGCGUGUAGCAGUGAAAUGCGUAGAUAUGCGGAGGAACACCGAUGGCGAAGGCAAUCCCCUGGGCCUGUACUGACGCUCAUGCACGAAAGCGUGGGGAGCAAACAGGAUUAGAUACCCCUGUAGUCCCUGUCUCUUAUAC